AGGACGAACGCUGGCGGCGUGCCUAAUACAUGCAAGUAGAACGCUGAAGGAGGAGCUUGCUCUUCUGGAUGAGUUGCGAACGGGUGAGUAACGCGUAGGUAACCUGCCUGGUAGCGGGGGAUAACUAUUGGAAACGAUAGCUAAUACCGCAUAAGAGUAGAUGUUGCAUGACAUUUGACUUAAAAGGUGAC
This 191-nucleotide ribosomal RNA is filed under the name uncultured soil bacterium. Its description in RNAcentral is "partial 16S ribosomal RNA". It matches the Rfam family "Bacterial small subunit ribosomal RNA", at positions 26 to 212 of the family's 1533-position model. The record is from RNAcentral.